AAAACGGUCCUUUUCAGGACCACUAAACACUGAAAACGACACAAAG
This is a non-coding RNA of Acyrthosiphon pisum (pea aphid), 46 nucleotides long. The record is from Rfam. NCBI's taxonomy places the organism in Eukaryota, Metazoa, Arthropoda, Insecta, Hemiptera, Aphididae.